GGUUCAGACGGCAGCGCGUGGGGCAACCCUGGCGGCGAGUGGCGAACGGGUGAGUAAUACAUCGGAACGUGUCCUGGAGUGGGGGAUAGCCCGGCGAAAGCCGGAUUAAUACCGCAUACGCUCUGUGGAGGAAAGCGGGGGAUCUUCGGACCUCGCGCUCAAGGGGCGGCCGAUGGCAGAUUAGCUAGUUGGUGGGGUAAAGGCCUACCAAGGCGACGAUCUGUAGCUGGUCUGAGAGGACGACCAGCCACACUGGGACUGAGACACGGCCCAGACUCCUACGGGAGGCAGCAGUGGGGAAUUUUGGACAAUGGGGGCAACCCUGAUCCAGCAAUGCCGCGUGUGUGAAGAAGGCCUUCGGGUUGUAAAGCACUUUUGUCCGGAAAGAAAACCGCUUCUCUAAUACAGGGGCGGGAUGACGGUACCGGAAGAAUAAGCACCGGCUAACUACGUGCCAGCAGCCGCGGUAAUACGUAGGGUGCAAGCGUUAAUCGGAAUUACUGGGCGUAAAGCGUGCGCAGGCGGUUCGCUAAGACCGAUGUGAAAUCCCCGGGCUUAACCUGGGAACUGCAUUGGUGACUGGCGGGCUAGAGUAUGGCAGAGGGGGGUAGAAUUCCACGUGUAGCAGUGAAAUGCGUAGAGAUGUGGAGGAAUACCGAUGGCGAAGGCAGCCCCCUGGGCCAAUACUGACGCUCAUGCACGAAAGCGUGGGGAGCAAACAGGAUUAGAUACCCUGGUAGUCCACGCCCUAAACGAUGUCAACUAGUUGUCGGGUCUUCAUUGACUUGGUAACGAAGCUAACGCGUGAAGUUGACCGCCUGGGGAGUACGGUCGCAAGAUUAAAACUCAAAGGAAUUGACGGGGACCCGCACAAGCGGUGGAUGAUGUGGAUUAAUUCGAUGCAACGCGAAAAACCUUACCUACCCUUGACAUGUACGGAACCUUGCUGAGAGGUGAGGGUGCCCGAAAGGGAGCCGUAACACAGUGCUGCAUGGCUGUCGUCAGCUCGUGUCGUGAGAUGUUGGUUAAGUCCCGCAACGAGCGCAACCCUUGUCCCUAGUGCUACGCAGAGCACUCUAGGAGACUGCGUGACAACCGGAGAGGUGGGGAUG
RNAcentral lists this ribosomal RNA (1112 nucleotides) under Burkholderia sp. 2RB2. RNAcentral describes it as "bacterial SSU rRNA". It matches the Rfam family "Bacterial small subunit ribosomal RNA", at positions 60 to 1181 of the family's 1533-position model. Lineage: Bacteria; Pseudomonadati; Pseudomonadota; Betaproteobacteria; Burkholderiales; Burkholderiaceae. The record is from RNAcentral.